RNAcentral lists this ribosomal RNA (253 nucleotides) under uncultured bacterium. Its description in RNAcentral is "partial 16S ribosomal RNA". It matches the Rfam family "Bacterial small subunit ribosomal RNA", at positions 524 to 776 of the family's 1533-position model. The record is from RNAcentral.
UACGGAGGGUGCAAGCGUUAUCCGGAUUCACUGGGUUUAAAGGGUGCGUAGGAGGGCAGGUAAGUCAGUGGUGAAAUCCCCGAGCUUAACUUGGGAACUGCCGUUGAUACUAUCUGUCUUGAAUAUUGUGGAGGUAGGCGGAAUAUGUCAUGUAGCGGUGAAAUGCUUAGAUAUGACAUAGAACACCAAUUGCGAAGGCAGCUUGCUACACAACUAUUGACUCUGAUGCACGAAAGCGUGGGGAUCAAACAGG